Molecule: RNA transcript, 2750 nt
Organism: Papaver somniferum (opium poppy)
Lineage: Eukaryota; Viridiplantae; Streptophyta; Magnoliopsida; Ranunculales; Papaveraceae
Gene name: serrate RNA effector molecule-like
Exons: 5
Source: RefSeq, a predicted model, not a curated record
UUUCGUUCUUCUUCAGCCAUGAAACCGAGAGAGGAGAUCGAGACAGAGAAGAUUAAUGGAAGAUGAUUGAAGAUAGAAAUUGAAAAGGAUUCGAAGUAGAAGAUGUGAAUGCUGCCAUCGAUUAACAACAGGAAGAAUGGAAAUGCUCGCUGCUGUUUGAAGUGAAGAGUUAGGGUUUUGUUUCUGAAGAAUUAGGGUUCGUAGGAGUUGAACUAAUGUGGUUAAAUCUGGAGGAGAUGGGUUGAGAAUCUAAGAAGAAAUUGGUGUUACUGUUACCAUGGGUUGAGAACCAAUCGAGAAAUUAAUUAAAAAGAGGAUUUAGGGUUGUAUUUUAAGGUUUCUGAGAAUCAAUGAUGGUGAUGAAGAAUUUAUUAGGUGUUGGUUGAAUUGAAAUGGGAAAUUGUUGAUGGUCUUGAGAUGGGUAGCUGAAUCGAAUGAAAGUGAAGGAGCAAUUGAUAUCAGUUGCUUGAGUGGAACUCAUUUGAGGUAAUGGUUUUUCUUGGUUAACUGAGUAAAGUUAUAUAUAUUCAGUUCUGAGUUUACGUGAAUUAUUAAUGGAGUUGUAAUUAAGUUUGUGAUUGAAUUCAAGGGAGUGGUACAGAUUGAAGAUGCAACAGAAAUUAGAAGUAAAGGGUUUGGUCAGAGAUUAGAAGAUGAGAAUCGAACAAAAGUUGUAGGGAUGUUGGGUUGAAAUCUGAAGUAGUAAUGGGUUGGAAGUCAGAGUGAGAAAUGGGUAUUGCAGGUUGAGCCGAGAUGGUGCAGUGCCUAUUGUUCUAAGCUUGUGUUAAAUUCAGUAAUGGUGAUUUGAAAUUGUCAAUUGAGGUUUUGGUGAGAAUAGUUGCAGCCGGAGCUACAGGGAGUGAUUGAUUGGUGUUGCAGGUGUUUUGAGUUGAUCUGUACAGGCAGUUGAGAUGCAGUUACUAGUUUGGAUACUGUUGUUUUCAGCUAUGAAACUACGGGGUUGCAGUUGAAGAUAGAGGAGUUACGCUGGGUUGCAGUCAGGGAAUGUGCAAAAUGAAUGUGACUGUAGGAAGAAUGACAAUGGCUUGAGCAAGGAGCUGCUUACUGUUUUGAAGUUAGCUCUGAGAUGUUUGAAUGGUUGCAGCUGAAGUUGUGAAAGAGAUGGUGCAGGACAAGUCUGAACAGUGCAGGUGCAGUGGCUCGGGUUGCAGUUUUGAAGUCGUCGUUGUUGAAGUUGAGAUGAAGAAUGAGAAGGUGAUGUUGAAUCUGUUGCCUCGCAGCUUCCCGCAAAGUUGCGAAAGACUUUAUAUUGGAUUUGCAGAGUGGAACUCUGGACAUUGGCCCAGGUGUAAGUCCUAGAUUAGCAAGAAAAUCAGGAAACGGAAGUGAUCCCAACUCUGAGGAUGAAGCAGAAAUUGGCAGCAAAAGAAGAAGACACGGCAGAGGACCUGCGAAAGAGAAUGACAUUCUUUCAGCGUUAUUGCACUAGCAGGUUUUAUGUACUUUUCAUUAGGAUGGAGGGAAGCAUAAAGCAAGGCUUGUCGAGGAGGAGAAACCCGAACUUCCAGCCAAUAAGGAGUCAUCGAGUUUGCCAAGAUUCUAUAUGGGCAUCUCGAAGCUGUAGUGUUACAGAACUUAAGAAAACAUCGGACUCAGUGAGCACAAAUUUUCCUAACUUAGAGAGCCUAUUCUUUGAAUCUCUUGAAACAGGAACCUUGGCUCUGGCACUAGUGGACAUCAACUGGAAGUUUUGACCUUACUGACUGCAUGCAUCUUAAAGAAGUGGAAGUGGGUCGAGUUUUGGUAUAAAUUCCUUAAGCUUGUUGUACAGGUGGGAAUAUGGUUGGAUACACAAAGCUCUUUCAUGCUGCUGAGUUUGUCCACAAGCAUGUGAGAUUGAAACACCUGGACCUCGUGAUGGAUCUGACUUCUAAAGUGCUUGAAGAGUUAUAUUUUUACCAUUACAUGAAUGAUACAGAUGCUCCCGGUGGUCAGCCUGUCAUGCAGCAACCACUUCCGAGAGAUAUGCCACAACGGGGUAGGAUGGAUAACCAAACCAACGGCUAAGAGACGAUCAUGGGAACUAUCAUCGCAGAGAUCAGGAGAGGAUUGAUAGAAAUGGUGGUGGUGGUGAUGAUGAUGAAAGGUUUGACAAGACGGAGAAUUCGCCAUCUCGAGAUGUCCAGUCGGACACAACAGGUGGUGGUGGAGAUCCUGACGAACCAAUCUAUGAUACUUAUGGUGGAGCUGGAGGACCUGGCUUGCAUGGUGCUCAAUUCCCAUCUGAUCUAGCUCCACCUCCCCCAGUAUUGAUGCAUGUUCCUGGUGCUGGGCCACUAGGACCUUUUGUCCCUGCUCCGCCCGAAGUUGCAAUGCGAAUGCUGAGGGAGCAGGGUGGUGGUCCUUUCGAAGGAACUGUUGCUAGGAAUGAGCGGGUUGGACCCACUCCAAUAAUUGCUGUAUCUCCAGCCUUUCGGACGGAUCCCCAACGCGUUCGUAGUUAUCAGGUUCUGGAUGCCCCAGAAGAUGAAGUCACCGUUAUAGAUUACCGAAGUUUAUAGAUCUUCUCGUUGUGUCAAGAAUUCAAAGAUCUGUGGAUUCUGCAUCUGCUUAUAGGUCAUAGAGGAUGUGUUGGCUUCUCUCGGGUGGAGAUUUCGAGUGGAAUUUAGUGCACUGUUUACUGAAAGCGGGUGUCAUUUUUGCUUUUCUUCUGCUGUAUUAGACGACUGGGGUUUUGUGUUAUUCUUCGUAAUGGUAGUAAUAUGCUGAAUAAUAAUGUUUUUUUGCUA